GUUCUUGUGGCCUAGUGGUUAGGGCGUCUGUUUUACAUGUCCGCGUGAUUUUGAUCACAGAAGAUCCCCGGUUCGAUCCCGGGCGAGAACA
Molecule: non-coding RNA, 91 nt
Organism: Xylariaceae sp. FL0255
Lineage: Eukaryota; Fungi; Ascomycota; Sordariomycetes; Xylariales; Xylariaceae
Source: the annotation of a GenBank genome assembly